RNAcentral lists this ribosomal RNA (254 nucleotides) under uncultured bacterium. Its description in RNAcentral is "partial 16S ribosomal RNA". It matches the Rfam family "Bacterial small subunit ribosomal RNA", at positions 524 to 776 of the family's 1533-position model. The record is from RNAcentral.
UACGUAGGGACCAAGCGUUGUUCGGAUUUACUGGGCGUAAAGGGCGCGUAGGCGGUCAGUGCAAGUCAGUUGUGAAAUCUCCGGGCUUAACUCGGAAAGGUCAACUGAUACUGCUCGACUAGAGUGCGGAAGGGGCAACUGGAAUUCUUGGUGUAGCGGUGAAAUGCGUAGAUAUCAAGAGGAACACCUGCGGCGAAGGCGGGUUGCUGGGCUGACACUGACGCUGAAGUGCGAAAGCUAGGGGAGCGAACGGG